UCUCAGCAGCCGGAUUUCUUGCACACUUCUGCUACUUUCCAAUCCAUCCUCAAAUCUCUCUCCAUUGUCCACCAAUUUAGAAAUGCUCUUAAAGCACGUCAAAGCCCUCCAUAUCCACCUUGACCCUUGCGUUUAUCAGUCACUUAUAUGCUCCCACCUUGCAGGCAGGAAAAUCCAUAUUGCUUUCUCGAUUUUCCAACAACUCCUCCAUUCUGCAGCUUCCAAAAUCCAAUCUGAAACCUGCAAUUCACUGGGAACCUAAAGGAUGCCCGUAAGGUGUUGGAUGAAAUGCUUCACAGAGGCAUCGCUUUGACUACAGUUGGUUUCGGUGUAUUCGUAAGCCCACUUAUACCCUCUCCUCUAAAAAGAAGUUGUCAAUCCCUUCUCUCUCCUUCUCCGAUCAACUGCAAAGCUAAUGUUCCCCCGAUUCUCCCUUAAAUUUUAGAAAAUUUUUGGGCUCUCUAGGACUGCAAAAUCUGUGGCUCUUUUAUUUGCCCACAGAUUUGCUUGUAGUUGCCGAAAAGCCCUACAUUCAAUAGAUCGAUAUAAUUUCACAGUUUUCUGUAUAUAUCUCUUGGUUUUUUAGGAAUUUUAGUUUCAGAGAAUCAACGACCGUCGCAGCAGCCCUGGAUUAGAGAUUUAAAAUGCUCGGUUUGCCUAGCGUUCAGGAGCCAGGGAAGCUUUGAUUUGGAUGCCCAGAGUUAGACAGCCUAAUUACACCUCUGUAAAUGUACGUAAUGUUGGACAGCCUGGGGUGCCAAGACAGCCACCUAACUCACAACCAAAUCCAUUUGGGAUCCUUUUUGGCAGGAUUGUCCUUCGCUUAUCAGCUUUUGUAUCUACUAGAUGCUAUUGGGUUCUACUCUUUGAGAUUACACGUUCUUGGAAUUCAUCUUUGUUGAGGUAAAGCCAGGAGCUGGUACUUAUUCUAGGCCUUUCCACAAUAUGCUGAUAUUCGACUACGUGAAGGCACAACACCAACAGUAAUUUUUACAAGUGGCUAUAAAACGUAUUGCAUUGGCAUGAAACAAAGAUCCUUCGACAAGAAUUAGGCCACUUUUGCAGCCGAACAUGUUUUUUGCCUUGGAGACAUAUUGCUUUUUAUUCCACAAUCGCUCAUCUCUUUUGGUGUUAUCAUAUUCAACAAAAAAGGCAUUGAAAAACUAUAUUCAUGGCAUUUUAAUUUCACUAUUCAUCUAAUUUAGUCCAUAUUACUUAGUACUGCGAUUGUCUUUGAGAACAAAUUGUAGUUGAUAAGUGCUAGAACUAAACUCUUAUGUCACUUCUCAUUAUGUAUCUUGCUCGAUUCAUUAAGGAGCUUUCUUUA
Molecule: long non-coding RNA, 1327 nt
Organism: Coffea eugenioides
Lineage: Eukaryota; Viridiplantae; Streptophyta; Magnoliopsida; Gentianales; Rubiaceae
Exons: 4
Source: RefSeq, a predicted model, not a curated record